This 183-nucleotide small RNA is filed under the name Marmota monax (woodchuck). Lineage: Eukaryota; Metazoa; Chordata; Mammalia; Rodentia; Sciuridae. The record is from RNAcentral.
UGGAAAAGAGGCCUGCAAUCUGCAGAACACAAGGCUAUUUGAUUUAUCUGAGGAAAAAAAAAUUUCAGAGUAAUUAAAUCCUAUAUAUUUAAUUUGAUUUAGAUUAUACUUUUGUGUGUGUGUGUGUGUGUGUGUGUGUGUAUGUAUGUAUGUGAGUGGGCAUUGAGCCCAGGGGUGUUCCAC